CAGGGCCCAUGCCAGCUGCCAGGGAGCCUGUGCCCGCCCCAACACUGCAGGCCGAGAGCAGCCAGCUCCGCUCCCCAUGGUCAGCGCCCGCUUCUCUGCACCCUCUGCCACGGGGAGGAUCCUGCAGGCCAGGGUCACCUGGUGGACUCGGCUCUGGGUCCUGGAGAGGGAAGGACCCUCUGCAGGGUCAUGAAGUGUGUCCUGUAACAUAACACAGAUGGCAGCAACCUAUAAACAAUUGGGCACGACACAAAUUUAAGGAUCUACCAUUUUGCUGGAUCAACUGUUCUUUAGGCUUUGACCAGAGGUUAUUUUCAGAUGAAAGUAUGGAUGAACACCUGAUUCUCAGGUUUAAACUUCGAAACCUUGUGAAAUCCAUCCAUUCAAACUCCCUGUCUGCCCACCUGGCUGCUCAGAGCUGCAGAGCGGCUGCUGUAUGGUAGGUAUUGGGUUGGGUCAGGACGGAGGAGCAGUAAACAGGCAAUCAGAGGCCUGAGGUGCUGGAAGACCUCGUGUGAGGACCCAAGUCCAGCCUCAGAGGAGGACUUCCUGGAGGAAGUGAUGCCCAUCCUGUCCUGAGUGAAGGGUCAGUGCGGUAAAGAGGAGAGCUGGGGAGUCCUUGGGCCAAAGGAGCAGUGGUGUGAAAGAUGGGUGCUUUGUUCCAGGCUUUGCAGUGUGAAGAUCAGAUCAAAACCUCAGAAAUGUCACUCCUGAUAGCUUUGAGAGGACUCCAAGGGGGCUGGACUAUUGUCAUGGAUACCAACAGGAAGGCCCUAGUAGCAACCAAGGAAGACCAAAGUGGCCUCACUAAGAGAGAACAGGAUGGCUGAGAGUGGAAAUGCCAGUGAGGCUGCGACACUGAGCGGUGGGAAUGCGGGCAGCUGGAGGCUGAGAUCGGAAAGCGAAGGACCAGUGUCCACUGAUGCCCAGGCCAGGGUGUGGCCCCAGCACACCAUGGCUACAUGGGAAUGGCGGUGAAGGCCACUUUAAGUGAGGUCAGGGGCCUGGAAGACUUCUUCUCUGGCUUGAAAAAGUAGGAUACACGUAAGGUAACAGUAAGGUAACGCUUACAGCUUUAACCCUUUGUAAGUGUACUGGAUUAAGGAUAAGAAGAGGAAUUCGCGCAUCUAUAGUGCUGUGCCACCGUCAUCCCUGUUCACCCACAGGACUCUUCUGCUCUUGCAAAACCAAAACUCUCCACUAAGCACAACUCUACGCUUCCCUCCAUCCCACUGCCACUGACUUCUAUGCCACCACUCUACAAAUUUAUGUCUCUAUGCAUUUGACCAGUCCAGGUGCCGCAUAUAAAUGUUGUCACACCGUAUUUCCUCUUUUUAUCUGGCUUAUUUCACUUACCAUGAUCUUCCCAAGUUUCAGUCAUGUUGUAGCAAGUGUCAGAAUUUCCUUCUUCAUCAGGCAUGUGAAACACAGCUGUAAUUCCAGCAUUUGGAUACUGAGGCAGGAGAUAGCUAAGAGUCAGAGAUCAGGGCUGGGGAUUUAUCUUAGUGGCAUAAGCACCUGCCAGGCAAGAGCAAAGUCAUGAGUUCAAUCCCCGGUGCCGAGAGAGAGAGAGAGAGAGAGAGAGAGAGAGAGAGAGAGAGAGAGAGAGAGAAUCUUGAACUAUAUAGUGAGUUCAAGGCCAACCUGGACUGCAUAGUGAGACCCUGUCUCAAAAAAAAAAAAAAAAAAAAGCCAAGUAAUAAUAUAUAUAUAUUUCUACCCCUUUUAAAUUUUUGAGUGUGGCCCACAAUAAGAAAUGUAUUUUAUUGUCAAGUAUGACAGACCCAGCCUGUAAUCUCAGCAUUCUGGUAGCUGAGGCAGGAGGAAUUCGAAUCCAAGCCCAGCCUGGUCAAGUUAACAGCAUCCUGUCUCAAAAAAAAAAAAAAGACUGAGGACGUAGCUCGGGGCUAAAGCUUGGGGUUCAGUCCCCAGCACUGCAAAAAAGAAAAAAAAAAAAAAAGGAUAUCUAUACCAUGAUGUUCUGACCUGCAAUACAUAUAUAUUUAUGUUAUUAAAAUAAUGUUAUUAGCAUAUGUUUUAUGUAAUACAUAUUGAAAUAAAUGUUUUCCCCCAAACUACCUUUUAUAUAGGCAAAGUA
Molecule: long non-coding RNA, 2098 nt
Organism: Cavia porcellus (domestic guinea pig)
Lineage: Eukaryota; Metazoa; Chordata; Mammalia; Rodentia; Caviidae
Exons: 2
Source: RefSeq, a predicted model, not a curated record